GCCCGCGCGUGCCGCCGCCGGGCCGCGGCGGGGAGCGGGAGCGGGAGCCGGGCGAAGUCCAGUCCGCGUUUUGCGAGUGCGCGGGAGCGCUCGGCGUGGAGGGGGCGAUGGUUGCUGGAGCUCGCUCGCUCUCUCGCUCAUGCCAUGCUGGGCCAGAUAGGCUCAGUCAGACGUGUAUUUACCCAUAUCCGGGUUAGAGAGGAAAAGAAAAAAAAAAAGUUUCAUUUAAACCUGAACAAAAAAACUUUCAACAUGAAAUCACACAGCAGGAACAGGCACAGACCCGAGCCGCUGAACAUGGCCAAUAACGCAACUUCUGCCGCUGCCACCAGUAACAACAACAACAACGCCAGCGGCGGCGGCCGCUCCUCCUCGGAGCCGGCUCUGAAGGAAGGUGGAAGCUCCUCGGCGUUAUCUUCUUCUUCUUCGUCUUCUUCCUCCUCCUCCUCCUCCUCCUCCAACCCGGGCUCGGCCAUGGAGACGGGGCUGCUCCCCAACCACAAACUGAAAGGCGUCGGAGGCGAUCACCCCGCCGCGCCGCCCCACCACCACCAUGCUCACCACCCGCAUCACCAUGCCCACCACCACCAUGCCCACCACCCGCACCACCACCACCAUGCACUACAGCAGCAGCUAAAUCAAUUCCAGCCGCCGCCGCCGCCGCAGCAGCCGCCGCCUCAGCACCAUCCCAUGCAGAAUAACAACAGCAGCCUCGGCGGCGGCGGCAGCAACGGCAGCAACAACAACGGCGGUGGCGGUGGCGGCGCUGCUCAGCCCAGUGCAGACAUGGAGCAGCAGCAACAUGGAGGAAAAGACAGUGUUUUGGGCACUAAGGCCGAGCCCCCGCAGCAGCCGCAGCAAAUGCUGAAUAAAGGCGCCGACGAGGAGGAGAUGCCCGGCAAAAUGGGCGAGCCCAUCGGCAGCCGCUACGAUCACGCCGGCUUGGGACCCCUAGGCGGACAGCAGCAGCCCCAGCAGCCGCCCCAGAGCGCUGGGAGCGGCGGCGGCCUCGGCGGCGGCGGCGGGAGCGGGGGAGGCGGCGGCGGCCCCUCCGCGGUGGGUGUCUCGGAGUUCAAUAGCUAUUAUGGCAACGCUGCCCCCGCCGCUGCCGGCAGCGCCGCGGCGAGCCGCGCCGGGCCUUGCUUUGAUCAACAUGGCGGACAACAAAGCCCCGGGAUGGGGAUAAUGCACCCCACGGCGGCCCCCAACAGCAUGGACCCCCUGCAAAACUCCCACGAAGGUUACCCCAACAGCCA
RNAcentral lists this long non-coding RNA (1256 nucleotides) under Apteryx rowi (Okarito brown kiwi). Its description in RNAcentral is "lncRNA (ENSARWG00000006890.1)". The record is from RNAcentral. Lineage: Eukaryota; Metazoa; Chordata; Aves; Apterygiformes; Apterygidae.